UAAAAAAUCUCAUGCAGCUCUGUGUGGAUGCUGAAUCCUGGUCAAUUCUGACCCAUCUGUUCCCAAAGUCUGCUACUGCUGCUAGGGAAGCCUCUCUCUUCAGCCCAGAAUAGAGGCAUUUUGUCACUACCUUUGCUUAUGUAUGUGUGGGAAGGAUAAACAGGACCAGUGGUGGAGCUCCAGGACUGCUAAGUAUCCUGCUCCAUGUGUACACGUCUCCUGCAUGUGUCUGUGCUUGUAGAUUUGAUGUCAAGGCUUCCCCAACAAGGAUGCUGCGGCACCCUCCUAUGUCCACUUCUCUUUACAGGGAUGUAAGUGAGAAUGAAGGGGAAGCCCAGGCUGGAAGGCAACUCAGUGGCUAGGCGCACUGGCUGCUCCUGCAGGUGGUCCAGGUUUGAUUUCCAGCAGCCACAUGGUGGCUCACCUGCCUGUAACUUCCUUUUCUGACCUCUGUGGGUACAAGGUGCACAUGCAUGUAUGCAGGCAAAACAUUCAUACACAGAAAAUUUAAAAUCCCUAUUUUUUAAGAAAAAGAGGAAAUUUGAAGCACAGCAUCUUUAGUUCUAUUUGUAAGUUUUGUUCUGCUUUGUUUUAUUUUUGACACAUGCUCUCUUUUUUUAGCCCAGGCUAGCCUCAAACUCUAGAUCUUCCUUGCCUCAGCCUCCUGAUCUCUAGGCUCACAGGCAGGCCGCUGGCAUUUGAAUUCGGAUUCUCCAACUGGAAAUUCUUUUGUUGUCAUUUUGUUUUGUUUUCUUAAUUUUUAAAAAGUUUUCAUACCUAUAUAAUGUAUUGAGCAUAUCCUACCCCCACUCCCUUAACCUCUAUGUCAGUUGGGGGUUUUGUUUUGUUCAUUUGUUUGUUUGUUUCGAGCUGAUAUGAGCUAGAGUCCACUGGGAUGAGGAAACCGCAUAUGAGGAAUCGCCUUUAUCCAGUUGAACUGUGGGUAAGUCAGCGGGGGAUUUUAUUUGGUAAUGAUUGACGCUGUGAGGGCGCAGUUCAGUGUAGGUGGCAUGAACCCUGGGCAGAUGGACCUCGGUUAUACAAGAAAAGCUGAGCAAGCAGAAAGCGCUGUUCCUCCAUGGCCUCUGCUUCAGUUACUGCCUCCAAGUUCCUACCCCUGACUUCCCUCGUGAUGAAUCCUGAGUGGAUGUGUAAAUCAAGUUAGCCCUGUCUUCACAAAGCUGGCUGGAUAUUUUGUCACGGAAACAGGAAAGCAGACCAAGACACCCUCCAUUUUCUCAGCCACCCGCCCCCCAAUACCACCCAUCUCUUAGACAGGUUUAUUUCUACUUUUAUGUCAUAUGUAUAUAUGUGAUUUACACAUCUAUAUAAAACCUGGGAACUAUAAAGGAGAAAAAACAUAUGUGAUAUUUGUGUUUCUGGAACUUGGCUUAAUUCUCUUUAUAUGAUUUUUUCCAGUUGCAUCCAUUUUCCUACAAAUAAUAUAACUUCACUCUUUGUGGCUGAAGAAAACUCUGUGUGUGUGUGUGUGUGUGUGUGUGUGUGUGAGAGAGAGAGAGAGAGAGAGAGAGAGAGAGAGAGAGAGAGAGAGAGAGAGAGAGAGAUUCCUUAUCUGUUCCUCUGUCACUAGACACCUAGGUUGGUUCUACAAUUUAACUGGAUGUUGAUGUAAUAAACACUAGCACACUAGCGUGUAAGUACCUCUGUGAUCUAUGGACUCAGAGUUGUUUGUAUAAACCACCAGGAAAGAUACAGAUGGGUCAUAUGAAGAUCUAAGUCUAGUUUUUGAGAAAGCCCCACGCUGAUUUCUUCAGUGGCCCAACUGGUUUACAUUCCUGCCGGCAGUGUACAACAAUCCCUGUCUGUCUGCAGAUCAGUAAUUUGUUACGAACUCCUGUACCUACAUGCAAAAGCAGGUCUGUGGGGCUCACUGAUCCACACUCAUGACAACAAUCAGGGGCUGACCAUCAUGGUUUGACUAUAAGAGAUGUCAUAGGUUCACGGAAAGCAACUUGAUUGCCAGCUUUUAGGAAAUGGUUUGAUAAUGAGAGCCCUGUUUUCAUGAAUGGAUUAUUGUAGUUGGGUUUAAUGUCAACUCUAGAACCACCUGAGUAGGGAGCCUCAACUGAAGUAUUAUCCUGACUGCCUUAGUUAACCUGGGAAGACCUGUCCUGACUGUGGACAGCAUCUUCUGGUAGCAGUGCAGACUGAGGGUAAAGCAGAAGAAAGAGAUUUCACCUUGGGCUUGCUUGGGCUCUAUAGUAGUUUGAAUGUAGUUGGCUCCCAUAAACUCACAGGGAGUGGCAUUAUUAGGAGGUGUGGCUUUGUUGGAGUAGGUAUGGUCUUGUUAGAGGAAGUAUGUCACUGUGAAGGCGGGCUUUAAUGUCUCAUAUGCUCAAGAUACCACCCAGUGUCUUAGUCUACUUCCUGUAGGCUUCUGAUCAAGAUACAGCCAACACCAUGUCUGCCUGCAUACCACCAUGCUCCCCACCAUGAUGAUAAUGGACUGAACUUCUGAAACUAGUCUCCCAUAACUGAGUAGAGCUGACGUUCAGGGAAUGCUGGAUGAGAGAUUCUCUGGGAAAUCACAUUCUUCCACCUGAGUCUGCUUCCCAGUGAUAGAGUCAAAGCUUAUCCUUGGCACCCACUGCUGUUCCUUUCCACCUUAGUCAUUGUUCCUGUUGUUGUGACAAAAGCAACUGAAGGAGUGAUUGCUGUUAUUUUUCAAAUGGGAAAUCAAGGAAUGGAGAAAGCUCUUCCAUGAAGACUAGUUGGAAAGUAACAGGGGCUGCAGGUCAACCCCAGUGCUCUCGAACUUCUGGCCAUCGGUCCCCAGAAUAAAGCCCAGACAUCCACCUCAGCUCACCCAGAAAGACAGAGAUGAUUCAAGCAAGCCCUUAACUGUGAAUAAAUUGAAUUCCAAGCCCCCUGCUUCAAGUGACAACAAAGGGGGAUCAGCCUGGCCUGGGAGAAGCUGGCAGAGAAAGCAGACUGUGUUGAAGAAGAAGUCAAGAAACUGAGGCCGGGUGAGGAGCUCUGGUUCCAAAUGAUCUAAUCCCUCUUCUGGAUUCUGUGGGCACUGCAUGCCCAUACAUUAAUACAGACAGAAUAAAAAUAAAUAGAUCGUUUUAAAAAAUA
Molecule: long non-coding RNA, 3099 nt
Organism: Arvicola amphibius (Eurasian water vole)
Lineage: Eukaryota; Metazoa; Chordata; Mammalia; Rodentia; Cricetidae
Exons: 5
Source: RefSeq, a predicted model, not a curated record